UAUCUUGAAACCAGAAUGGUGCUUCAGUU
RNAcentral lists this non-coding RNA (29 nucleotides) under Mus musculus (house mouse). Lineage: Eukaryota; Metazoa; Chordata; Mammalia; Rodentia; Muridae. The record is from RNAcentral.